This 301-nucleotide ribosomal RNA is filed under the name uncultured bacterium. RNAcentral's name for it is "partial 16S ribosomal RNA". It matches the Rfam family "Bacterial small subunit ribosomal RNA", at positions 509 to 807 of the family's 1533-position model. The record is from RNAcentral.
CAGUAGCCGCGGGAAUACGAACCGUGCGAACGUUAUUCGGAAUUACUGGGCUUAAAGCGCGUGUAGGCGGGCCGCCACGUCGGUUGCUGAAAUCCCCCGGCUCAACCGGGGAAGUGGCAUCGAUACGAGCGGCCUUGAGGGGGGUAGGGGGAUCUGGAACUUCCGGUGGAGCGGUGAAAUGCGUUGAGAUCGGAAGGAACGCCCGUGGCGAAAGCGAGGUCCUGGACCCUUUCUGACGCUGAGACGCGAAAGCCAGGGGAGCGAACGGGAUUAGAUACCCCCGUAGUCCCUGUCUCUUAUU